GGGGGGGGCAAGCGUUGUUCGGAAUUACUGGGCGUAAAGGGCGCGUAGGCGGUUGGAUAAGUCAGCUGUGAAAACCACGAGCUUAACUCGUGGCCUGCAGUUGAGACUGUCUGGCUUGAGUGUGGGAGAGGAGAGUGGAAUUCCUGGUGUAGCGGUGAAAUGCGUAGAUAUCUGGAGGAAUACCGGUGGCGAAGGCGGCCCCCUGGACAAAGACUGACGCUCAGGUGCGAAAGCGUGGGGAGCAAACAGGAUUAGAUACCCUGGUAGUCCACGCCGUAAACGAUGUCGACUUGGAGGUUGUGCCCUUGAGGCGUGGCUUCCGGAGCUAACGCGUUAAGUCGACCGCCUGGGGAGUACGGCCGCAAGGUUA
This 370-nucleotide ribosomal RNA is filed under the name uncultured bacterium. RNAcentral describes it as "bacterial SSU rRNA". It matches the Rfam family "Bacterial small subunit ribosomal RNA", at positions 527 to 896 of the family's 1533-position model. The record is from RNAcentral.